CUACGGGCCGCUGCAGUGGGGAAUAUUGGACAAUGGGCGCAAGCCUGAUCCAGCCAUGCCGCGUGAGUGAAGAAGGCCCUAGGGUUGUAAAGCUCUUUCAGUGGUGAAGAUAAUGACGGUAGCCACAGAAGAAGCCCCGGCCAACUCCGUGCCAGCAGCCGCGGUAAUACGGAGGGGGCUAGCGUUGUUCGGAAUUACUGGGCGUAAAGCGCGCGUAGGCGGACUGGUCAGUUGGGGGUGAAAUCCCGAGGCUCAACCUCGGAACUGCCCUCAAUACUGCCAGUCUUGAGUUCGAGAGAGGUGAGUGGAAUUCCUAGUGUAGAGGUGAAAUUCGUAGAUAUUAGGAAGAACAUCAGUGGCGAAGGCGGCUCACUGGCUCGAUACUGACGCUGAGGCGCGAAAGCGUGGGGAGCAAACAGGAUUAGAUACCCCAGUAGUC
RNAcentral lists this ribosomal RNA (439 nucleotides) under uncultured bacterium. RNAcentral's name for it is "partial 16S ribosomal RNA". It matches the Rfam family "Bacterial small subunit ribosomal RNA", at positions 339 to 795 of the family's 1533-position model. The record is from RNAcentral.